UCCGGUUGAUCCUGCCGGCGGUCACUGCUAUCGAGUUUCGGCUAAGCCAUGCGAGUCACAGGCCGAAAGGUACUGGCGGACGGCUCAGUAACACGCGGAUAAUCUACCCUCAGGUGGGGUAUACCCUUGGGAAACUGAGGCUAAUCCCCCAUAGGUCCUGUAAACUGGAAUGUUUUAGGACUGAAAGUCACGGCGCCUGAGGAUGAGUCUGCGGCCUAUCAGGUAGUAGGUGGGGUAAAGGCCCACAUAGCCUAUGACGGGUACGGGCCCUGAGAGGGGUAGCCCGGAGAUGGGUUCUGAGACACGAACCCAGGCCCUACGGGGCGCAGCAGGCGCGAAACCUUCGCAAUGCGCGCAAGCGCGACGAGGGGAACUCGAGUGCUAUUAUCCUUUUGGGUGAUAGCUUUUCUCGAUCCUAAAAAGAUCGGGGAAUAAAAGCUGGGUAAGACGGGUGCCAGCCGCCGCGGUAAUACCCGCAGCUCAAGUGGUGGCCACUAUUAUUGAGCCUAAAGCGUCCGUAGCCGGUCUUGUAAAUCUCUGGGUAAAUCCCAUCGCUCAACGGUGGGAAGACUGGAGAGACUGCAAGACUAGGGAUCGGGUGAGGUAAGAGGUACUCCUGGGGUAGGGGUAAAAUCCUGUAAUCCUGGGGGGACGACCGGUGGCGAAGGCGUCUUACUAGAACGACUCCGACGGUGAGGGACGAAGGCUAGGGGAGCAAACCGGAUUAGAUACCCGGGUAGUCCUAGCUGUAAACGCUGCCCACUUGGUGUUGCCCUUUCGUAGGGAAGGGGCAGUGCCGGAGCGAAGGUGUUAAGUGGGCCGCUUGGGGAGUAUGGUCGCAAGGCUGAAACUUAAAGGAAUUGGCGGGAGAGCACCGCAACGGGAGGAGCGUGCGGUUUAAUUGGAUUCAACGCCGGG
Molecule: ribosomal RNA, 918 nt
Filed under: uncultured archaeon
Lineage: Archaea
Description: bacterial SSU rRNA
Rfam family: Archaeal small subunit ribosomal RNA
Source: RNAcentral